Molecule: non-coding RNA, 935 nt
Organism: Hydra vulgaris (swiftwater hydra)
Lineage: Eukaryota; Metazoa; Cnidaria; Hydrozoa; Anthoathecata; Hydridae
Source: RefSeq, a predicted model, not a curated record
UCCAGAAACUUCCAACUCUUAUAGUGGUUGCUUGCAGCCUUGUUGGAAGUGAAGAUGUUAAAAAAAAAAAAAAAAAAAAAUUGUGUAAUAAGUAUUUUAAUGCAGGCCACUAUGUACCUUCGUGUGUACAUAGGUGUUACAAGCAAACUUUUUGCUGAUAUGAGAUCCUUGUAUGAUAAGGAUUUGAAAAAUGACAGGUGUUUUUUUUAGCAAAUUAAAUUUUUUUAUGCAAAUCAAAAGAGCAUAAAUCAGGUAUUCAAAAUAAUAUAAAAAACAUAUGUUUAAAGUUUUUACUUAAAAAUAUACAGGGGUAAAUAUGUUUUUAUUAUACCGGGGGUAAACCGCUGCUUUGUGACUUUUAAUAAUUUUUAAAAUACUUUCUUGAACGCCGAUUUUAUAUUUUUUUUAAUUUGUUUUUUAUUAUAAUUUAAGAAAUAUUAGUUAUUAUAAAGUUUAUAUUGUUUAAAACAUGUUUUAGACAAAAAUCAUUUUUUUUGACCUCCGGAUUUUUACAACAUUAUACCUGUUUUGAUGAAAUAGAAUAUUUCAUACUUAACGAUUGUAUUAUUUUAAAUGUUUUGAUAAUGUUAUUUUAUUUUUACAUAUAUCUACUUAUAAGAAUGCAACAAUUCGAAUGAUUUGUUUUUGUUUUUAGCUUUUAAAAACGUUUCUAUACUGUGUUGUUGCUGUUUUACAUAUUAAAUGUUAUUAACAAAAGGAGGACGAAGAAAAAAAAAAAAAAAAAAGAAAACUUAUUUUUGACUUUACUAAAUGCAUUGUUUGCCAGGAGGAUGAUUUAAAAAAAAAAUUGGAAAAAACAGUUUGCGUGACGCUUUGGAAAAACUAAUGGUAUGUUUAAGGCAAAGGUACUCCUAUCAUGACCCAGAGGCAAUUGUUACCAAAAGUUAAGAGAAAUACCACGCGAGGAACUAGAU